UCUAAGCUGCAAACCCUAAACCCCAAAUCCAAUCCUCAAGCCUUAAAUCCCAAUCCUUAAUCCCCAAAUCCUAAACUCCAAUUCUUAAACCCCAAAUCCUAAACCUCAAGCUCAAAUCUCCAAAUCCCAAAAUUCAAAAUCUUAAACCCCAAACCCCAGACCACAAAUUCUAAACCCCAAACUCCUAAACCCCUAAUCCCUAAAUCCUAAACCCCGC
This 217-nucleotide long non-coding RNA is filed under the name Elaeis guineensis (African oil palm). RNAcentral's name for it is "long non-coding RNA (EGUI_LNC044574)". The record is from RNAcentral. Lineage: Eukaryota; Viridiplantae; Streptophyta; Magnoliopsida; Arecales; Arecaceae.